AGCAUAUCAAUAAGCGGAGGAAAAGAAACCAACAGGGAUUGCCUUAGUAACGGCGAGUGAAGCGGCAAAAGCUCAAAUUUGAAAGCUUCGGCAUUGUAAUUUCUAGGUCUAGGGUUCGAAGUUUUGCACCAAGUCCAUUGGAACAUGGCGCCUCAGAGGGUGACAGCCCCGUACGCAAAAUCACUUACACCCUAUUCCCAAGAGUCGAGUUGUUUGGGAAUGCAGCUCUAAGUGGGUGGUAAAUUCCAUCUAAAGCUAAAUAUUGGCGAGAGACCGAUAGCGAACAAGUACAGUGAUGGAAAGAUGAAAAGCACUUUGAAAAGAGAGUGAAACAGUACGUGAAAUUGUUGGAAGGGAAGGGCUUGCAAGCAGACACGGUUUCGGCCGGGCCAGCAUCAGUUGUAAGGGCGCCACAAGGCCAUUUAGAAUGUAAGCUUCGGUGGUUAUAGCUAAGUGGACAUGGCGCCUCCUACGACUGAGGCCUGCAGUACAUCUUAGGAUGCUGGCGUAAUGGUUGCAAGUCGCCCGUCUUGAAACACGGACCAAGGAGUCUAACGUCCAUGCGAGUGUUUGGGUGGAAAACCCCAGCGCGGAAUGAAAGUAACUUGGUAGGAGCCCCUGUGGGCGCACUACCGACCGACCCUGAAGUGUUCGGAUGGGUUUGAGUAGGAGCAUGGCUGUUGGGACCCGAAAGAUGGUGAACUAUACCUGGAUAGGGUGAAGCCAGAGGAAACUCUGGUGGAGGCUCGCAGCGGUUCUGACGUGCAAAUCGAUCGUCGAAUCUGGGUAUAGGGGCGAAAGACUAAUCGAACCAUCUAGUAGCUGGU
RNAcentral lists this ribosomal RNA (827 nucleotides) under [Candida] tocantinsensis. Its description in RNAcentral is "LSU rRNA". It matches the Rfam family "Eukaryotic large subunit ribosomal RNA", at positions 37 to 955 of the family's 3401-position model. The record is from RNAcentral. Lineage: Eukaryota; Fungi; Ascomycota; Saccharomycetes; Saccharomycetales.